Long non-coding RNA from Telopea speciosissima, 377 nucleotides. RefSeq lists it as uncharacterized. The record is from RefSeq and is a predicted model, not a curated record. The transcript has 3 exons. NCBI's taxonomy places the organism in Eukaryota, Viridiplantae, Streptophyta, Magnoliopsida, Proteales, Proteaceae.
CGAACGGCUGUCGAGGUUAAUGGAUUCUGUACAACGCUGAGGAAUCUCAGUUAUAUAACAUCCAAAUACAUCACAACUUGCAGUGGUCUUUUACUUUGAGCAGGUGGAGCAUAUGGAUGCUGCUUCUCCAGCAGGAAAGAACGGUGAUACAAGGAAAAGCUCAAACCCCAUUGAAUUUACACCACAAGAAAACCGUCAACUUGGCUAUGGACACAUACAAAGUGAAAGUACACCGCAAGAAAAUCGUCAACUUGGCUCUGAACAGUUACAAAAUGAAAAUACACCACAAGAAAGCCGUCAACUUGGCUCUGAACAUGUACAAAGUGAGAGUACACCACAAGAAAACCAUCAACUUGGCUCCGAAUAUAUACGAAGUG